GUGACGUGAUGAAGCAGUUUAUCCAUUCUCUGAGUUCUGCUGGUGCUCGCACUCUCUGCGGCUCUCGCGUCUGUUCUAGGCACGAGAGUUUCCGGCUGCCUGCGCCUCUCCCGCAGGUCCAGUGUUCUACUGGUUCUGUGGUCAGAGACCGCAGGUGGGCUUGCAGGGAUGAAGCCUGGCCCUCACAAAGACGAGUGUAAACGGCUGAUCAC
Small nucleolar RNA from Alosa sapidissima (American shad), 212 nucleotides. RefSeq annotates it as small nucleolar RNA SNORD17. The record is from RefSeq and is a predicted model, not a curated record. NCBI's taxonomy places the organism in Eukaryota, Metazoa, Chordata, Actinopteri, Clupeiformes, Clupeidae. The transcript has a single exon.